Molecule: ribosomal RNA, 32 nt
Filed under: Fucus serratus
Lineage: Eukaryota; Phaeophyceae; Fucales; Fucaceae
Description: partial 18S ribosomal RNA
Source: RNAcentral
UUUCSGUAGGUGAACCUGCGGAAGGAUCAUUA